UACGUAGGGGGAGAGCGUUGUCCGGAGUUACUGGGCGUAAAGCGCACGCAGGCGGUCUGCUAAGUUUGGAGUGACAGUUGGUGGCUCAACCACCAAAGUGCUUCGAAAACUGACAGACUUGAGGGCUUCAGAGGGACACGGAAUUCCGGGUGGAGUGGUGAAAUGCGUAGAGAUCCGGAGGAACACCGAAGGCGAAGGCAGUGUCCUGGGGAGUACCUGACGCUCAGGUGCGAAAGCUAGGGGAGCGAACGGG
This 253-nucleotide ribosomal RNA is filed under the name uncultured bacterium. Its description in RNAcentral is "partial 16S ribosomal RNA". It matches the Rfam family "Bacterial small subunit ribosomal RNA", at positions 524 to 776 of the family's 1533-position model. The record is from RNAcentral.